UGGGGGCUCGAACCAGGAUCCGGUCCUUGCGCUUCACGCCAUGUGGGCUUAACCCACUGUGCUACCGCCUGGCCCCUAGAAAUCAAUACAUUUUACUGUCCAAAAUCAAUCAAAACAGAUUGCACACCAAUACCUACCAUCGUAUAAUGACUAUGUUGACUAUCAGUGUCUCUAAUAAUACUUCCAAAUAAACCUCUUUUUAAAGAACCUCUGAGAUUGCCUAUUUGUGUUUUGUCCAAAUGAAAGGUCAGAUCUGAGGUAGCCUGAGUAAAGCACAGUUAAGACUAAAGUCAAGUCUUGAAAUCUGAGUGGUAGUGGGGAAGGCUAGCAUGGAAUCUUAAAUCCUACUUUACAAUAAUUCAAAAAGGAAACAGGAAUUCUUUCAGGUGACAAGAGAACCCUUAGUACCACUUAAAAACCUCUAGCUCAUAGUGGCAAAACUAAGCAACCCUAGGUCUGAAGAAGCUUGUGGAGUUUUUAUCUCCUAAAGGGAAGACUUUUAUCAAUAAACAAAAUAAAACAAAGAAAAAAAAUCCUAGUUCAGAGGAAUUAGAAGAAAUGCAAAACAAGUUUCCUAGCUUCUCAACAGAUAAAGAAAGGCAGUUUCAUAAGCUGUCCCAAUUGAUCAAACACAUCAGCACAUUUAAGCAAACCUGGGAUAGUGUAACUAACCAAUCUCUCUUUAGAAACUAUCCUUGGGGCCAGUUGGUGAUGCACCUGGUUGAGCGCACAUUAUAUUACACAAGGACCCCGUUCGAGCCCUGGGCCCCAUCUACAAGGGGAAAGGUUUGCAAGUGGUUUUACAGUGUUGCAGGUGUCUCUCUCUUUUUUUUUUUUUUCUCUAUUUCCCACUUCCUCUCAAUUUCUGACUUUCUCUAUUCAAUAAAUAAAUAAAAUUUUAAAAAAUUACCCUUCAGAGUAAGAGGAGUUAAAAUAUUACUGUUGCAUCCUGUAAAAAAAUCAUAAGCAGGGAGUCGGGCUGUAGCGCAGCAGGUUAAGCGCAGGUGGCGCAAAGCACAAGGACCGGCAUAAGGAUCCCGUUUGAACCCCGGCUCCCCACCUGCAGGGGAGUCGCUUCACAGGCGGUGAAGCAGGUCUGCAGGUGUCUAUCUUUCUCUCCUCCUCUCUGUCUUCCCCUCCUCUCUCCAUUUCUCUCUGUCCUAUCCAACAACAACAACAACAAUAAUAACCACAACAAUAAAACAACAAGGGCAACAAAAGGGAAUAAAUAAAUAAAUAUAAAAAAA
Molecule: long non-coding RNA, 1247 nt
Organism: Erinaceus europaeus (western European hedgehog)
Lineage: Eukaryota; Metazoa; Chordata; Mammalia; Eulipotyphla; Erinaceidae
Exons: 2
Source: RefSeq, a predicted model, not a curated record